GAGGUACAGCUUCAGAAAAACAAGUUCUCCCUUCUUCCACGAUGCAGCUUUAUUUCCUAGAGGCAAUUCUAGUAAGCCUUGCUAUAGCUGAAUGAUUUUUAGUGGUGCUGUUUGCUUAAAGGACCUGGGUAAUCCAUCCUGGAUAUAGAAGUGCAUUCAUCUUUUCUAGCAGCAGGCACUAUGAAAAGCUGUUUUAUUUCCCAGUCUGAUUUCUCUUCAAGCUCAGAUAUGUGCUCUCCAGCUAUAUAAGUAGUGACAAUGGGUACUCUCUGCCUGGUUUGUAUGGUGGUUAUUAAGGGCCUUGUGAGACUUCUAUGCUGAAAAAUAUUCCAGGGAUUCACUUUUAUUCUUAUGCUUACAACUGAGAUAUGUAACUUUCAGCCGAAGGAGUUAAUUUACUGUCUCGUUCAGCAUCAGAACACAUGGCACAUGGCUACAGUGAAGAGAAUAUUCAGGUUUCUGGGAUCUGACCUGCUUGGAAAACCAUUGUGUACCUGCUUGUCCUCAAGAGGAACCCGAAGUUCUGCAGAACGAUCAUUUUGCUGUUGCAGGAGGUGCCUUUGAUUAGCUUCUAAGAUUUGUUCAAAUUUGUCCCUCGUAUAGAGCAUGUUCUCAAGUUACGGCUUGUCAGCUGAGCUGCGGUAACUGACUCUACAUUCCUCAUUUGCCGAGUGGAAUAUGCUAAUUCAAACCACCUUUAGAGGAGUUCAUAUUAAAGAGUUGCUCUUCACAGUGACAGCACACAAGCAGACAUCAGCUCAACUUGAAAGCAGCAACUUUGCAGGCAGAGGAGCGUCUCUUUUACUAUCAGCAUCCCACAAUUUAAAUCAAGAAAGAACUUGGCAAUUACAUUUUCUCAAUGUCCCUUCUCUGCUCAGUGUUCUCAGGCUGAAGGCAUUGACACAUUUUCUUCUCUGUGAACUGCUCAACCACCAGGGAUUAAAGUGAGCAUAGAACAACACAAAGCUGAAUCGAUGCUCCUUUUCACAUCCCCAUUGAGAGAUCAGAGGAGUUACCAUAGAACAGAGAGAAGGUUGGUAACAGGCAAAAGAAAAAUGAAAAUAGAGAAAUAAAGAGCUGGAGGAUGGAGGAGAGCAACAGAAUCUGAGGGUGGCAAGUGAAACAGAAGUUGGGCAUGGCGAAAAGCAAUAAUAUGUGACACAUAUUGCAGCAGAUUUGAACCUCAGAGGAACCGUUGACAUUAUUCUGUACUCAUUCUCCCCCCCAGGACUCCAACUCAUUUCAAGAGUCUUUCCUCAGGCCCUGAGACUCAUAUCAGGAACCAAAAACCUCUCUGGCUCCGCUGUCAGCAAAAACCAAGGUAACCACCUGUCAAAGCAUUUGUCACCACCCUCUGUGGGGCAGACACACACAAACUGCUGCCACAAGCUGCCUGUCUCUUUAAGGGGUAGAGAUCUGUCAAAGUAUGUAUGUGGCAGGUAAAGCUAUUGAUCUGA
Molecule: long non-coding RNA, 1457 nt
Organism: Melospiza melodia melodia
Lineage: Eukaryota; Metazoa; Chordata; Aves; Passeriformes; Passerellidae
Exons: 4
Source: RefSeq, a predicted model, not a curated record